GGACAACUUGUCUUACCAGAGGUCACUGCAACUUACUUUUACUUUGUUCAUUUAUGUCAGUAAGAACACUUAAAGUCAUCUGGUGCAAAGAGAAAGAUACUUCCACUUCUAAUACAGCAUCAGAUACAACUUUUAGUGACAUCUAUCACAGUUUUUCUUUUUUUUGGGACACGGGGACAAUAUCUGUCCUGUGCCAAGCUUCUGCAGAGACAGUCCUAUUACCAGCAUCUUGGCACAAUGGACAAACUCCAAAAGACAGGAGAAAACUGGAAACUGACCUUCAACUGCAGCAGCCACCUUCAGCAGGAGCAGUGAUGAGUUUGAUGCAGAAGUGACUAAGAUUUGUCACCUAGAUCAGCAGCUGACUGUUGACCUCAGAGUUUUUGAGAAGAUGGAGCCUGAAGUCACUGGAGUGAAGUUUGCACACUGGCAACUAAGUACCUGGUGUUUAGCUGAACAGAAACAUCUUGGGAGACUGCCAAAACCAACCAAACAAAAAACCAGGGAGAAACCUAGAGAAGAAAAAUAGUUGCAUCACUUCUCUUGCCUUCUGCUUUCCACUGUAAUUUCUGGCCAAUCUGUGUCCUGUUCUAUAGCUACAUUACAAUUUAGGAAAUUAUUUCACCAUUAAAACGCUGAGUCAUCUUUGCUGAGACAAGUCUACAACAUAUAAUGACAUAAUUUAGGAAUAUCUUGAUUCAGCAUUUUAAUCCAUCCUUUUAUGUGGUUUGGCUAGAAUAAAUAAGGGAUAGAGAGGCAGCCUUGUUCCUUGCAGUAUCUUAUGCUGUGGAUUAUGGUGGGAAAGGACACGUGUAAUUUAGCCAAUAAUCUUGACUUCAUUCUGUGUAGGAAAAGACCUUGAGUCAUGAGUAGAAGGUGAACACAUGAUGUGAGAUUGUUAUGUUUGUUUUACCAGUUACUGCCACUACAGACUUAUUAGUAAUGAAGAGUUCCUCACAGAUUCCAACCAAAAUUGAAAGUAUUCUGAUGGAGUAUUUUGUCAGCUCCAUUUAGCAAUUACUUGUGAAAACUGAGAUAGAUAACAGACUUCCUGACAGUUUUAAAUCUUAAUCUCAGAGGCACAAAGGUUAAUUAAAUGCUGCUGCAAGACAAAAUUAAAUUUCAGCCAAAUAUCCUUUCAAAACCAACAUAGGAUGGAAGGCUGCCAAAAACCCCACAUGAUUUGGAACUCAAGAAAGAAGAAGGGCCUCCAGGUCUGCAAUGCAAUAACAUAAUACUUUUGACAGUUUCUCAAAGGAGUAGGCCAGAGGAUGCAAGGAUGAUCCUGUUGUUUUUUCUGUAAUAGCUGACAAACUACUAAAAGUAGGUUGUCAACUAAAACUCUACUCAUUUCUUAGUUUCUCUGGAAUACAUCAAUACUCUAGCAUGUCCUCAAGCUUACUUUCUCCUCCAUAGAACAAUUUAACAUUAUAACCUGAUUUUGGACAAAACAUUUCUAAAAACAAAAUAAGCAAACAAAUAAACAAACAAACACAAAAUGACACUCACUCCCUCCCCCAAAAAACCCCAGACCAACAAACCAACAAAAAUCCCAAUUAAACCAAGUAAAAAAAUUCCUAGAGCUUGGAAAGAGGAACCACAAUCCAUGGCUUUUCACAAUCAGGAUUAGACUAUCAGCCAUAAUCCUUCCUGUGUUUUCUUAUGGCAAUAGAACUUUCCCAUGCUUAGUGGCAACACCAGACAAGGUGGAAGAAAAAUGCUCUGAAUUCAGUUUAUCAUGAUUAUUUUGAUCUUCCAGGAUCUACAGAAAUGGAUUUGGUCACAUAUUUCUUGCUUCUCCAUGACAAUUUUCACCGAUGCUGAUUUCAAUAAGAGCAAGCAGCACCAACAACCCGUACCAGAUUCACUGCUUUUGCACUGGCAGAAUCCUCUUCCCCACUGAUGCCUACAAUGUACAUCCUGGUUUGGCAUGUAUCUGGAUGUAUCACUAUGCUGCACUUCACUCAUAUACUGUCUGUGCUUAUCUGAGGAGGUAAAUAGGACUAGGAAUAUUUUUGUUGACAAUCAAAAGUUCAGAGCUAUGGAACAGUGUGAGGAUAUGAAGGUGGACCUCCCUAUCACUUCGCGUUUCAGCUGGGCUGACCCUGCAGUUUGCCAUAAACUCCAAAUGUUACAUUCAACAACCUUACCAGGUCAGGCUUCCCAGUUCAUUUCAACACACCAGAUGAGCCAUUGGGACUAAUGUGUUUUUUGAAUGCACAUUCUACCUUCAAAGUAUUUAAUUCUGAAAGCAUCCAAGUGAGGUCAGCUUUUUGCUUACACAGCAUUCAGAUGAAGAAGGCUCUGGAUUUUUGCACUGAUUAUAUGCAUCUUAUUUUAAAUGCAAUGAAGAGCUAGAGCAUAGAGACAUGGAUUCUCCAAAAAGCUAAAACAUUUGAGGUCUCUGGUUCAAAUAGCUCAGUGGUAAGAGAAUAAGCAUUUCUCUCCUAUUUCCUGGAAUUGUGUAAAGAAAUUAUGAUAAUGACUCAUUCACACUGCUCAAAUGUAAACCAUUUUAUUAGUAAUGGACAUUAACACCCAGCAGGUCUUCUUUUUUUUUUUCUUUUUCUUUUUUUUUUUUUAAUGUUUAUUUAGGUGCCUAAGCACAAGUUUAUAGUGACUUUCCCGAAACUACCCAUGUAGAGACUUGCCCUUCCUCCAAGGUCUCUUGUGGAAAAAGUCACCUGGGCAAGACAAAGAAUUGACUCUGUGACACACGGACAUUAUAAAAGGUGUCUAAAAGAAGAAAACUCUUUUCAACUUAUGUUCUGGUUAUGAAUGAACCCCAAGAGGAAGAUGGUCUUUUAUUUCAUGCAAUCACUUUCAGAAACCUAAUGCAUUUUUUCAAAAGCAGCAUUGCACAAUAAUAAAUAUUGUAAAUCAUGUGUCUUUAACAAGUGAUAAAAAGAACAGAGAAGUUAUAUGGACAAAUUAAACUGGAAUCAUAUGAAAGGAAGUUCACAGUGCUUUUUAAUUAUCUUACUGGUUUAAAAAUAACUCUUCUGUUAUCUUCAAAGGAAAAAGACCAUGACAUCUGAGGAGUUCAUUAGCUCUACAUAAAGAACCAAAUAACUUCAAUACGAAUUCUAAGACAGAGAGCAAGACAAUGCUUUUUCAUAAGACAAUACAUUUUCAGAGGAAAAUGUAUAUAAUUUUAAACUCACAUAAAUAUGUAAACAGUGAAUUAAAAGAAGUGUGCUAGCAAUAUGACUGCUUGUAGUGGCAGAAAACACUACUUCUUUAUUUGAAUUUUUCCUAGGAUAGAAAUAUUUUAGAAAUACUGCUGUUAAUAUUUGAAAAACAUUAGGAAAAUAUACUGGUAUGUCAGAUAAACAAAACUACAGUUUUCUUUUUUUAUGCUAUGAAUACUAAGACAGUUCA
Molecule: long non-coding RNA, 3381 nt
Organism: Corvus hawaiiensis (hawaiian crow)
Lineage: Eukaryota; Metazoa; Chordata; Aves; Passeriformes; Corvidae
Exons: 3
Source: RefSeq, a predicted model, not a curated record